UAGGGAAUCUUCGGCAAUGGACGGAAGUCUGACCGAGCAACGCCGCGUGAGUGAAGAAGGUUUUCGGAUCGUAAAGCUCUGUUGUUAGAGAAGAACGUUGGUAGGCGUGGAAAAUCUACCAAGCGACGGUAACUAACCAGAAAGGGACGGCUAACUACGUGCCAGCAGCCGCGGUAAUACGUAGGUCUCGAGCGUUCUCCGGAUUUAUUGGGCGUAAAGCGAGCGCAGGCGGUUCUUUAAGUCUGAAGUUAAAGGGAGUGGCUUAACCAUUGUAAGCUUUGGAAACUGGAGGACUUGAGUGCAGAAAGGGGGAGUGGAAAUCCAAGGGUAGCGGUGAAAUGCGUAGAUAUAUGGAAGAACACCGGUGGCGAAAGCGGCUCUCUGGUCUGUAACUGACGCUGAGGCUCGAAAGCGUGGGGAGCAAACAGG
Molecule: ribosomal RNA, 429 nt
Filed under: Bacillota bacterium
Lineage: Bacteria; Bacillati; Bacillota
Description: Firmicutes bacterium partial 16S ribosomal RNA
Rfam family: Bacterial small subunit ribosomal RNA
Source: RNAcentral